This 2031-nucleotide long non-coding RNA is filed under the name Nicotiana benthamiana. RNAcentral describes it as "long non-coding RNA (NBEN_LNC029765)". The record is from RNAcentral. Lineage: Eukaryota; Viridiplantae; Streptophyta; Magnoliopsida; Solanales; Solanaceae.
CCAAAUAAAGCCAAAAUCAGACCCAAAAUGCAGGACUAAUAUUUCCAAAUGUGACAAUCAUCAAAACAUUUCUUGUCUUUACUUAUGUUAUCCAACACAACAGUAGGCUUCAUUUACACUUGAAAAUCAACACAAUGGUAUCAUACAGCCUAUAGAUUAGUCCCUGAUGAUAUCCAUAUUUCAAUAAUGACAAAAGUUCAGCUAUUGCAACUAAUAUUCAGCAUAUAUUUUUAACAACUAAACCUGAAAGUGCAUACCAGAUCUCCAUCUGCAGCUUAUACUAACAAUAUUAAAAUUCCUAUGACUUCAGUAAUCAAAGAAUCCAUUCAAACUAAGUAGGCUACCAUUAACUCGAAUCAACAGAACCCACAUCUUAUGCAUAUUAGAUACAUAGGAACUUAAGCAAACUUAAUAUUCAGUAUAACAAACUAAGAUUUACAGAGAGAAGGAAUUCAAAUAACAAGCUAAUCAUAUGAACAGCACACAAGACUAAAAUGUCAACUCCAAACUUCUAUUUUUCAUAUUACUUUCAACUUGAAGAUCACUUAUACAGGUUUCAGAAUAUGUACCUGGAAAUUGCACAAAAAGGAAAAGAAGUGACGGACUAGCAAUAAAAUAGUAGCCAGCAAACCAGCAACACCAGUUCCAACGAUUAAAAACCUAGGAAAUCAACUCAGCAAAACCAGUGAAAGAUUAACCCCCAAUCAAAAAACAUUAAUAACCAAAUAUCAAUCCAUUUGAAUAUCAGAAUAGGUACUAUUGUUUUUCAGAAGUAAAGAAAAUCACUGAAAUUCAAUCGAGGAGUAGAACUUUUGGCCUUUUUGUAUUUUUCUGGAAUUCUAUCUCUAAUUUUCUCUGCCUUGAAAGGCAAGAAUAAGGUGCCUUUAUAGGAAAGCAAAUAGAGCAUACCUAAGAGUUCAAUUUUCACUUGUCCCUUUCUAAUUCUUAUUUUGGCUUAGGUGUCCCUGUUUGAUUUUCUAUCAUUCAAAAUAACUCAUUCCCCAACUUCCUAGAAGUUUCCUAGUUAAGAAAGAUUCAUUCUAUCAAAUCUCCCUAAACUACCCUUCAAGAAGUUGAUAUUUACCUUCACAGAAACUCAGUUUAUGGGUCAAAUUAAACUAAGACCCCACCCAACCCAUGGGCUUGCAUACUACAACCCAAACUGAAUUUCCAAACCUUGAACUUAACCGAAACUUUUAAAGAAACAAACUUCCGAAUAUUUUAAACAGAAAAAGAUUUCAAUAGAGAUGCUUGGGAAACAGUAAUUCAAAGCAAUUAAAUCAUCCAUUUAAUCAAAUUAUACUAAGAUACUAAUAUGCUAAUUCCCAUUUUAUUAAACACCAAACUAAACCUGAAUGGAAAAGGGAGAAGACUCAAAAUCCUAAUGACCUAAGGUAGUUCAACUUAUUACUGUUAACAAACUUAAAGUUAGCAGCCUAAAUCAUGAAAUUAAAUAAGAAAUAACACUCGUGAAGAAAGAAACCAAAAAAAAUGAAGCGAAGAUCAGAGAGAAACAAAACAAUCACAAAGAAAAAAAGAAUUACCCCCAUACCUACAUUGGAUAGACCCUUGUAUGAACUUGAACCUUUGACCAACCAAGAAAGUAACAAAGGGAAGAACCUAGGGCUUUUUCAGACCCCUGCUUCAACGUUGAAAGUCCUGGGCUGCUUUGAAAAGAAACGAAAGCUCAGUUCAGGUAGAAAAGGGUGAGGGAUUGCAUGGUGCAAGUUUUGGGUAGAAUUAGGACUUUUAGGGUGUUGGUUCUAGAUCUAAAAUUCGAGGAGCUUAGUGAUAGUUUUAAAUAAACGAGCUGGGGAUUCGGGACGAGGAGAUGGAGGGGAUUAUGCGAUGUGAAUUUAGGCUUGAUUGGCUGUCGGCCGCCACCAUGGGAAAUUUCCGGCAGGCAGCGGUCGAAGGGCGGAGAUCGGCAGACCUUCAGGGUGUGAUAGGGAUGAGAGAUGGGGAGUGGGGUGUCGUUAAGACAUAUAUACAUCUCCUUAGUUUAGAACCGUUAAUGUGAUGAGAUCUAAC